GAUGAAGAACGCAGCGAAAUGCGAUACUUGGUGUGAAUUGAAGAAUCCCGUGAACCAUCGAGUCUUUGAACGCAAGUUGCGCCCGAAGCCAUUAGGCCGAGGGCACGCCUGCCUGGGUGUCACACGUCGUUGCCCCCCCAUCUACUCCUUCGGGAUUGCGGGGGGCGGAUGAUGGCCUCCCGUGCGCCUCGUCGCGCGGUUGGCAUAAAUGCCAAGUCCUCGGCGACGCACGCCACGACAAUCGGUGGUUGCGAAACCUCGGUUGCCCGUCGUGUGCGGUCGUCGCGCAUCGAGGGCUCGAAAAAAUUGCCGGGCUCCGGCUCGGCUUUCAACGCGACCCCAGGUCAGGCGGGGUUACCCGCUGAAUUUAAGCAUAUCAAUAAGCGGAGGA
Molecule: unclassified non-coding RNA, 391 nt
Filed under: soil metagenome
Description: partial contains 5.8S ribosomal RNA, internal transcribed spacer 2, and large subunit ribosomal RNA
Rfam family: 5.8S ribosomal RNA (bases 1-122)
Source: RNAcentral